RNAcentral lists this ribosomal RNA (438 nucleotides) under Streptocara sp. RNAcentral's name for it is "partial small subunit ribosomal RNA". The record is from RNAcentral. Lineage: Eukaryota; Metazoa; Nematoda; Chromadorea; Rhabditida; Acuariidae.
UUUUUGUUUGUUUUUUUGUUUAUUUUUUGUGAAAUGUUGAUAUUUUUAUUUUUUUGUUGUUAUUGAUAAAUAUUUUUUGUUGAAUUGGAUUAGUACCCAUGUAAAUAAUUUUUAUUAAUGCGGGAGUAAAUUAGUUUUUAAACCGUAAAAAUAUUGACUGAUUUUUAAUUUUUCUUUGGAAGAUGUGAAUUUUAGGAGAGCCCUCCUUGCUUGUGUAAAUUGUUGGCACAUGUAUGAUUGUUUAAUUUUUAUAAUUUUUGUUAUGUUUAAAAAUUUUGUUCUUUAUGAAAAUAGAUAUAUACUUGGUUUAUGUUUUGUUUUUCAUUUGUUACUAUAAUUUAUAUUUCGGACUAGGGUUUAAGAACUCUAUGAAGUUGGAAAAGAUAGUAAAAGUGAUUUUUAUGUUUCUUUGAAAUAAUUUAAAAUGAAUGGUACAAA